RNAcentral lists this ribosomal RNA (468 nucleotides) under uncultured bacterium. RNAcentral's name for it is "partial 16S ribosomal RNA". It matches the Rfam family "Bacterial small subunit ribosomal RNA", at positions 28 to 507 of the family's 1533-position model. The record is from RNAcentral.
GACGAACGCUGGCGGCGUGCUUAACGCAUGCAAGUCGAACGGAAAGGCCCUGCUUUUGUGGGGUGCUCGAGUGGCGAACGGGUGAGUAACACGUGAGUAACCUGCCCUUGACUUUGGGAUAACUUCAGGAAACUGGGGCUAAUACCGGAUAGGAGCUCCUGCUGCAUGGUGGUGGUUGGAAAGUUUCGGCGGUUGGGGAUGGACUCGCGGCUUAUCAGCUUGUUGGUGGGGUAGUGGCUUACCAAGGCUUUGACGGGUAGCCGGCCUGAGAGGGUGACCGGCCACAUUGGGACUGAGAUACGGCCCAGACUCCUACGGGAGGCAGCAGUGGGGAAUAUUGCACAAUGGGCGGAAGCCUGAUGCAGCAACGCCGCGUGCGGGAUGACGGCCUUCGGGUUGUAAACCGCUUUCGCCUGUGACGAAGCGUGAGUGACGGUAAUGGGUAAAGAAGCACCGGCUAACUACGUG